Molecule: ribosomal RNA, 109 nt
Filed under: uncultured bacterium
Lineage: Bacteria
Description: partial 16S ribosomal RNA
Rfam family: Bacterial small subunit ribosomal RNA
Source: RNAcentral
UGAAGCAGCAACGCCGCGUGGAGGAUGUAAGGUUUUCGGAUUGUAAACUCCUUUUGUUAGAGAAGAUAAUGACGGUAUCUAACGAAUAAGCACCGGCUAACUCCGUGCC